AGCGAACGCUGGCGGUAGGCCUAACACAUGCAAGUCGAACGGCAGCACCUUAAUUGCUUGCUCUUAUGGGUGUCGUGUGGUGGACGGCUGGGGAAUACAUCGGAAUCUAUUUUUUCGUGGGGUAUAACUUAGGCUAACUUACGCUAAUUCCUUAUACGACCUACUGGUGAAAGCAGGGUAUCUUCGGACCUUGCGCUCUUGUAUGUGCCGAUGUCGGAUUAGCUAGUUGGCGGGGUAAAGGCCCACCAGGGCGACGAUCCGUAGCUGGUCUGAGAGGAUGAUCAGCGACACUGGAACUGAGACACGGACAAGACUCCUACGGGAGGCAGCAGUGGGGAAUAGUGGAAAAGGGGCGCAAGCCGGAGCCAGACAUACCGAGGGGGUGAAGAAGGCCUUCGGGUUGUAAAGCCAAUCUGUUGGGGAAGAAAAGCAACAGGUUAAUACCCAACGGUGCUGACGGUACCCAAAGAAGAAGCACCGGCUAACUUCGUG
RNAcentral lists this ribosomal RNA (492 nucleotides) under uncultured bacterium. Its description in RNAcentral is "partial 16S ribosomal RNA". It matches the Rfam family "Bacterial small subunit ribosomal RNA", at positions 29 to 507 of the family's 1533-position model. The record is from RNAcentral.